CGCGGAGCGGCUGGGAAGGAGGGGCUGGGCGUCUUGGAGCCCCUUGGCCCGCGGGGAAAGCGGGUGACCCGCCUUGCAAGUGGGAUGCCCCCUUCGGCCUUCUGGAGCGCAGAGCAAUGCACUCUGAAGCGGGAGGGUAGAAAGUGCUGGAAUGCGCGCCCAGGCCCAGGCUGUCGCGAGCCUUCAGCAAGCCAGUGCACACACAGAGGGCUGCCCAGAGAUCCCGGUCAGCGCUCGCAGUUCGAGGUGGAACGUGGAGGCUGUCUCCCCGGCAAGAGUGCCCACUGCAAGCGCAGGCCUGAGAAAUGGCCCAGAAAAGAGUGGUCAGGGCAAUGUGUUCUUGGCACGCCCAGCAAGACCGGCCAGAGGGACCUACAGACGAGUGUCUCCCAGCUAUCUCACCAGCAGGGACCUUGAGGUCCAAGUAUCCAGUCCGGUUAGAAAUGGCCGCGGAUCCAACAGGUGCUGGUGAGUGGGAGAAUACCCCUGAGGGAGGAAGAACAGAGGCCGGGAGGGAGCUGAGUGGAUGUAGAUGAGAAAUACCUGGACAGCUGCAAGCUGUGGUCAGUGAUGGGCAACUGGAACCAGAGAUUCCAGAGAGAGGGAGGGAGAAAGAGGGAGG
This 622-nucleotide non-coding RNA is filed under the name Pongo abelii (Sumatran orangutan). Lineage: Eukaryota; Metazoa; Chordata; Mammalia; Primates; Hominidae. The record is from RNAcentral.